AACGAACGCUGGCGGCAUGCCUAACACAUGCAAGUCGAACGGGACCACCGGGAGUACUUGCGCAUGGGUGUGUCACGUGUCGGAACCUGCCCUUAGGCUUCGGAUAAUUCUUUGUAAGGGGUGCUAACAUAGGGUAACGUACUCUGACAAAAGAUAUAUCGUCCGUGGGAGGGCAGGCGAUGGUCUAACCGGUUGGUAGGGUAAAAGCCUACAAAGGCGACGCUCCAUAGCGGGGCAGAGAGGAGGGUCAGCCACACUGGGACGGAGAUACGGCCCGGACUCCUACGGGAGGGAGCAGAGGGGAAUAUUGGACAAUGGGCGAAAGCCUGAUCCAGCAAUGCCGCGUGAGUGAUGAAGGCCGUAGGGUUGUAAAGCUCUUUUACCCGGGAUGAUAAUGACAGUACCGGGAGAAUAAGCGCCGGCUAACUCCGUG
RNAcentral lists this ribosomal RNA (433 nucleotides) under uncultured bacterium. Its description in RNAcentral is "partial 16S ribosomal RNA". It matches the Rfam family "Bacterial small subunit ribosomal RNA", at positions 29 to 507 of the family's 1533-position model. The record is from RNAcentral.